RNAcentral lists this long non-coding RNA (21954 nucleotides) under Malus domestica (apple). RNAcentral's name for it is "long non-coding RNA (MDOM_LNC003588)". The record is from RNAcentral. Lineage: Eukaryota; Viridiplantae; Streptophyta; Magnoliopsida; Rosales; Rosaceae.
UGUAUAAUAUUAUCCAAUGUUGGUCCUCCUAUAGUCUCAUACAAGCUAACAACCCUUCAAGUCCCUCCAUCUUAGGUACAGUAGACCGGCACGGUAGUGUAUGUAAGCUGCUGCCACAACCAAGAUAUGGAAAAGCUGGUGACUGCUCCCAGCAAUAUCAAACUUCCCCGGUCUCCACCGCUCGGGUAUCCUUGUAGCAUAAAUCAAUGCCCCUAGUCCAUUAACAACCCCCAUUAACACCUCAUAGCCGGCAGUCUGGGUGGCCUCUGGCUGAUUCCUGAACAAUAUGAGCUUAUGAACUAUAGGCACGACACUUGACACGCCCAUCCCAAAGAAGAGAGAAGCACGAUGGCUACGAAACUUGGGUCCUUGGAAAAAUGGGAGUUGGGAGAAAACCAUGGUGGUGAUACCUAGUACUGUGAUGAAACCUAAGUAGAGGUUGCAAAGGAAGGGGUUGCACAUGAAGGAGUAGUAGACAGUAGGGUAAAAUGAGGUCAUGAUGAGUGCAGUGAUGCCUGCAUAGUCACAUCUUUGCAUUAUGGAGGAAAGGCGCGCUGAAUGGCAAGCAACGAGAUGGCAGGUGCUGCUGGCUAGCAAGCAGAACAUGACUCCACCUAGAAACACAAAGAAGGGCCGCCUUGUUAUGGGCCGAUACAUAAGGGGGGCCACCAUGUUCAUCACGUCAUCCAUUACUCCAUCCUGCAAUUGUUAAACAAAUAACAAAGGCAUAAGGCUGGAAAACAAAAGGACUUCCAAUUAAAAAGUAUGUUGCCAUUGGUAUAUAGACCGGAUUUUAUAGAGACUUUAUCAGAAAGUUUACAUCAGUAGCUGGGUAAAAAAUUCAUGCAUGUAAAGGGAAUAAAAAAAAAGUCAAAUAAAAUUUGAAAAGCACUCAAAGACAUCUUUGCAUUGGAGUUGCAUUUUUUAAUCAAAGAGCAGGACAAUACCAGAACAGAAUUCUCUGUUUGAUUGCCAUGGGAGAACCGGUCAGGCAAGCAAUUGGCGAGAAGUUCCCUUAUAUUCCCUGAAGCUGAGGGGGGAAAAUCCAUAGACGGCAAAGAUAGCGAAGGGAGGCAAUUCAACAGUUCUGGAUGAAUUCUGUGCAAAUCGGCUCUUCUAAUCAUGUCAGACAAACGUUGCAGGGAAGACAGAUCCAUGAGGUCUGGAGCUUUUGUUGCUGUGUAUAUGGUUAGGAAAAGGAAAAGGAAGAACCCGAUCAAAUACAACAACAACAACAACAACAACAACAAAGCAUUUUCCCACUAAGUGGGGUCGGCUAUAUGAAUCCUAGAACGCCAUUGCGCUCGGUUUUGUGUCAUAUCCUCCGUUAGAUCCAAGUACUCAAGUCUUUUCUUAGGGUCUCUUCCAAAGUUUUCCUAGGUCUUCCUCUACCCCUUCGGCCCUGAACCUCUGUCCCGUAGUCACAUUUUCGAACCGGAGCGUCAGUAGGCCUUCUUUGCACAUGUCCAAACCACCGGAACCGAUUUUCUCUCAUAUUUCCUUCAAUUUUGGCUACUCCUACUUUACCCCGGAUAUCCUCAUUCCCAAUCUUAUCCUUUCUCGUGUGCCCAUACAUCCCACGAAGCAUCCUCAUCUCCGCUACACCCAUUUUAUGUACGUGUCGAUGCUUCACUGCUCAACAUUCUGUGUCAUACAACAUCGCUGGCCUUAUUGUCGUCCUAUAAAAUUUUUCCUUGAGCUUCAGUGGCCUACGACGGUCACACAACACGCCGGAUGCACUCUUACACUUCAUCCAUCCAGCUUGUAUUCUAUGGUUGAGAUCUCCAUCUAAUUCUCCGUUCUCUUGCAAGAUAGAUCCUAGGUAGCGAAAACGGUCACUUUUUGUGAUCUUCGCUAGAUUGCUCCGGUCAUUAGUGUGGAUAAGUAUAUAAAUGGAUAGAGAUAGGAAAGCAAACACAAGAUGUACGUGGUUCACCCAUAUUGGCUACGUCCACGGAAUAGAGGAGUUCUCAUUAAUUGUGAAGGGUUUACACAAGUACAUAGGUUCAAGCUCUCAUUUAGUGAGUACAAGUGAAUGAUUUAGUACAAAUGACAUUAGGAAAUAUUGUGGGAGAAUGAUCUCGUAACCACGAAACUUCUAAGUACCGGAGUGUGGUAUCGUCUUGACUUGCCUUAUCUGUCUCAUAGGUAGAUGUGUCAUCUUCUCUGGAAGUACUCUUCCUCCAUCCAGGGGUGGUAUCUGUAACUGGUGGAGAUGCACAAGGUAAUGUAUCAAUUUCACUUGAAGCUUACUUGUAGUUUCAGGCUUGGUCAAGCGCGAUACAAACCAUGUAGUAGGAGUCCCCCAAGUCGCCGAGCUAGGGGAUCUGCUGAAAGAGGUGACAGACAAGGUAAGCAAUCAGAGCUCCGACUGAUUGUUCACAUUCUCCCUAUCUUGCAGGCAGCAUGAAGGAUAAAGAGAAGAAAAAUGAGAAGAGAUGAUAUGGGAUACUUUUGCUUUUGAAGAAGUAACUUUCCACAAGCUUAUUCUUGAACCGGGCUGGAGGGUUUUCUGGUUUCCUCCAGAGUAUAAGGCCGACUGAAGAAUUUGAGGGUCAAAACAAGUCCAUCAAAUCUAGAGUACGUUCGACCCUGCUGAUAUGGGAUACUUUUUCUUUUGACAGAGUAGUGGAUGUAUCGGCACGUGUGUUGUUACGCUUGUCUCCACAUGCUUCCUUGUAUCCUUCUCACUUGCCCUAUCUGUUCCUCAGGUAGAUGCGGUAUCUUCCCUGGAAGCAUAAGAUGUUGAAGAUGAGUACUCGAGAGCAAUGCCAGGUAAGUAAUCAGGUAAGGGGUUCCAGGCAGUCAAUUCCUGGCUGGAAGCUUGAUUCCAAGUGCUGACUGAUUGCUCUCUUUCUCCUUGUCUUGCAGGUAAGAACAAGGCCAAAGGAAAAGACAGGGAAAAAGCAUGAUAUAGGAUACUCUUGCUUUUAACCAUGAUGAUAUGAGAUAUUCUUGCUCUUGUUUACAGAUGUAUUAUCGGGGGGAAAGAAAGCUGAAUAUUUCGAAAGGCUUCGUUGGGAGUGCCCUCUCAGAUAAGAGGAAUGGUUGAGCAUUUUUGCAGGUCUGCCUGUCCGUUAGGGAUGGAGGUCGACAUAUAUAGGAGUCUCCCUAACAUCAAGUAAUAAUGCUAUUCCUUUACCCUGCUUGGUCAUAGCACGGUAGUGGGAGCUGCCAGCUUCACAUGUUUUAACUCUGUCAGAGCACUUUGAAAAAGUGGUCUGUGGUAUCUGGAAAGCUGAUGUUGCGUGUGAAGAUUACGGACAAGCUUUAUCCAAGGAGAUCCAGCUCUUGAAGUUGGGAAAGUGGUGCCUCUUCGGUUUUCGAACAAGCAAUCCUGUCGGGGAUCUGGCUCUCGAGAUUCGGAUAACGAUGUCUCUUCGAUUUUUGAGAAAGCAAUCCUGCUGGGGGUCUGGCUCUCGAGAUUCGGAGAGCGGUGUCUCUUCGAUUUUUGAGAAAAUAAUCAUAUUGGGAGUCUGGCUCUCGAGAUUCGGAUGGCAAUGCCUCUUCGAUUUUGGAGCAAGCAAUCUUGUUGGGAGUGUUUUCUCGAAUGUGAGUAAAGGUUGGGCAUGUUUGCUAGUCUACCUUGCCACGAAGCACAGAGGUUGACACACAGGGACUUUCCAAUUAUCCAGCAGUGGUACUGUUCCUUUACCCUCUCUUCGAUUUUUGAGAAAGUAAUCAUGUUGGGAGUCUGGCUCUCGAGAUUCGGAGGGCGGUGCCUCUUCGAUUUUGGAGCAAGCAAUCUUGUUGGGAGUGUUUUCUCGAAUGUGAGUAAAGGUUGGGCAUGUUUGCUAGUUUACCUUGCCACGAAGCACAGAGGUUGACACACAUGGACUUUCCAAUUAUCCAGCAGUGGUACUGUUCCUUUACCCUCUCUUCGAUUUUUGAGAAAGUAAUCAUGUUGGGAGUCUGGCUCUCGAGAUUCGGAAGGCGGUGCCUCUUCGAUUUUGGAGCAAGCAAUCUUGUUAUGAGUGUUUUCUCGAAUGUGAGUAAAGGUUGGGCAUGUUUGCUAGUCUACCUUGCCACGAAGCACAGAGGUUGACACACCGGGACUUUCCAAUUAUCCAGCAGUGGUACUGUUCCUUUACCCUUGUGGGUAAUAAUAUGGUAGCUAGACCUUCAAAAUUUAUGUGUCUAAACUUUGUUAGUGUUGUUUCUUUGCUAUUCUUUUACCCUUCUUGGUCAGAGCGAUGUAGUAGGAGCUGCAAGCUUCACGUGUCUCAACUUUGUCAGAGAACUUUGGCAAAGUUAUCUGUGGUACCCAUGAGCUACUGUUGCAUGUGGGAAGUGGGUGAUUGAACAGUACGAUUCAUGUGCUUUCUACUUCGCCAGAAAUCUUCGACAGAAUGCCCAUAAUUUCCGCAAAGCUGAGUGUGCGUGUGACAGGUGCUGACAAGGCUGGAAAAGUAGGUGCCUCUUCGAUUUCUGAGAUCGGCCCUCGUGGUCUCUGAGCAGCCCAGCUUUUGAGAAAGCAAGCCUCUUCGAUUUCUGAGAUCGGCAUUUGUGGUCUUUGAGCAGCCCAGCUUUUGAGAAAGCAAACGCCUCUUCGAUUUCUGAGAUCGACCCUCGUGGUCUCUGAGCAGCCCAGCCUUUGAGAAAGCAAACGCCUAUUCGAUUUCUGAGCAGGCGCCUCUUCGAUUUCUGAAGCUUCGUCGAGUGCAGAUUUUUAUAAGGGCUGACAUUAAGUUCCAAAGCACACUUGAAUAUCCACCAGUAGAAGCUCCAUUCUUGCACUUCUAAGAUCUUGAUUUGUCCGACCUCUUCUCUCUUCUUCAACACCUUUGAAAAUGUCUGGCCCCUCCGACCGUCGUUUUGACUUGAACCUUGUUGAAGAGGCAGCCCCGCCUUCUCCAGACAACAUAUGGCGCCCAUCCUUCGUCUCCCCUACUGGUCCUCUUACCGUUGGGGAUUCCGUGAUGAAGAAUGAUAUGACCGCUGCGGUAGUGGCCAGGAACCUUCUCACUCCCAAAGAUAACAGACUACUUUCCAAACGGUCUGAUGAGUUGGCUGUUAAGGAUUCUCUGGCUCUCAGUGUUCAGUGUGCAGGUUCUGUGUCUUCUAAUAUGACCCAACGCCUAUUUGCUCGAACCCGCCAAGUUGAAUCAUUGGCGGCUGAAGUGAUGAGUCUCAAACAGGAGAUUAGAGGGCUCAAGCAUGAGAAUAAACAGUUGCACCGGCUCGCACAUGACUAUGCUACAAACAUGAAGAGGAAGCUUGACCAGAUGAAGGAAUCUGAUGGUCAGGUUUUACUUGAUCAUCAGAGAUUUGUGGGUUUGUUCCAAAGGCAUUUAUUGCCUUCGUCUUCUGGGGCUGUACCGCGUAAUGAAGCUCCAAAUGAUCAACCUCUGAUGCCUCAUCCUUCUAGGGUUCUGUCCAGUACUGAGGCUCCGAAUGAUCCCCAUCCGGUGCCUUCUCUUUCUGGGGCUCUACCGACUGCUAAGACUUCUCCUAAGCAACCUUUGUGAAGGCUCCCUCUUGUUUGUUUAUUUUGACUCAAGUAUAUGUACAUAUUUGUAACUUAUCGGGGAUAUCAAUAAAUAAGCUUUCCUUCAUUUCAACGUAUUGUGUUAAAUAAACCAAAGCCUUCUUCGCUAAGUUCUUUGAAUUUUCUUUUGUUGAAGCUUGUAUGUUGAAGCUUUGUGAGUGGAGCAUGUAGGUUGAGGUAGUGUUCCCUUAAUUUCCCGAGUGAGGAAAACUUCUCGGUUGGAGACUUAGAAAAUCCAAGUCACUGAGUGGGAUCGGCUAUAUGAAUCUUAGAACGCCAUUGUGUUCUGUCUUGUCUCAUGUCCUCCGUGAGAUCCAAGUACUCUAAGUCUUUUCUUAGGGUCUCUUCCAAAGUUUUCCUAGGUCUUCCUCUACCCCUUCGGCCCUGAACCUCUGUCCCAUAGUCGCAUCUUCUAAUCGGAGCGUCAGUAGGCCUUCUUUGCACAUGUCCAAACCACUGUAACCGAUUUUCUCUCAUCUUUCGUUCAAUUUCGGCUACUCCUACUUUACCCCGGAUAUCCUCAUUCCUAAUCUUAUCCUUUCUCGUGUGCCCACACAUCCAACGAAGCAUCCUCAUCUCCGCUACACCCAUUUUGUGUACGUGUUGAUGCUUCACCGCCCAACAUUAUGUGCCAUACAGCAUCGCCGGCCUUAUUGCCGUCCUAUAAAAUUUUCCCUUGAGCUUCAGUGGCAUACGGCGGUCACACAACACGCCGGAUGCACUCUUCCACUUCAUCCAUCCAGCUUGUAUUCUAUGGUUGAGAUCUCCAUCUAAUUUUCCGUUCUUUUGCAAGAUAGAUCCUAGGUAACGAAAACGGUAGCUCUUUGGUAUUUCUUGAUCUCCGAUCCUCACCCCUAACUCGUUUUGGUCUCCAUUUGCACUGAACUUGCACUCCAUAUAUUCUGUCUUUGAUCGGCUUAGGCGAAGACCUUUAGAUUCCAACACUUCUCUCCAAAGGUUAAGCUUUGCAUUUACCCCUUCCUGAGUUUCAUCUAUCAACACUAUAUCGUCUGCGAAAAGCAUACACCAAGGAAUAUCAUCUUGAAUGUCCUGUUAACUCAUCCAUGUAUGGAUGAGUUAACAGGACAUAUUCAAGAUGAUAUUCCUUGGUGUAUGCUUUUCGCAGACGAUAUAGUGUUGAUAGAUGAAACUCAGGAAGGGGUAAAUGCAAAGCUUAACCUUUGGAGAGAAGUGUUGGAAUCUAAAGGUCUUCGCCUAAGCCGAUCAAAGACAGAAUAUAUGGAGUGCAAGUUCAGUGCAAAUGGAGACCAAAACGAGUUAGGGGUGUGUGAAUAACUAUUAAGAGCAAUGGUCUUAAAAGCAUUUCUCAGCAAUGUUAUUUACUUGAGAGGCACAGCUUCAAAAAACAAAUAACCAUUGCAUUGUAUUGCGGUAAUAAGUAUUAGGCACUAGAGUACUUACGUCCAGACAUUAAGAGUCUGAUUAUGAAUGGAAAAGAUGCUUAGAAACACCUGCUUCAAUGGCCAUUCCGAUCGGUAAUGACCCAAAAUGAACUCAUUGUCCCUUAAAAAAUCAGGCAAUGAAUGGUAUUCAAUAAGCUGAUAUUUAACUUUCUUCCUGAGUCUCUUUCCCUUUGCUUCCUUUGAACGCGUUUCGUUUACAUCUUCAUGGUCGAAUUGAUUUUCUUCUGAUCUAGUUUCUGCAACCAAGAAGCAUUGAGAAGCAUUUUCCUACUAAGCACAGACAAGACUACAAACGAAGGUCUGUCAAAAAUUAAGUCCAAGUGCUUUUCUUGGAGAGAGAUAACUAUACAUGGGAACACGCAUCAUAUAAACAAAAUCCGUAACCAUUUCGUUUUUAGUUUUCCCGUUUUUGUUAGGAAUAGAGGAGAAAUACAAAGGAGAAAAGACGGAUGAAGGAAGGUGGAGGAAUGAUGGCGGGAAGGGUGUGGGAGAAAUGUACAUGGAAGAGUACACAAAGUAAAAACUAAAAACCGGAACAAUAUUUAGUAGCUUUUCAAGUUUCUAGUUUUUGUUUUCUACUUUCUCCCCCCGCCUUCUUUAUUUCUCAUUCCUCCAUAUACAUUCCCUCUAUUUCUACCAAGGAAAAAAUGAAAACAAAACUAAAAACGAAAUAAUUAUCAAACGAGCCCUAAGUAAAGGCUCGUUUGGAAGUACUUUUAAAUGAUUGAAAGCGCUUUUGGUAAAUUGAUUUUGGGUUCCCAAAGCACUUAAGUGCUUUUCAAAAUAAGCACCAGUAUGUGCUUCAUGCAGGAAACACUUAAAAGCUUUUUCAAGAUCCACUUAGAUUUUUACUAAAGAUUGAUUUCAAUAAUAUUUCACCAAAAACGCUUUCAGUCAUUACAAGUGGAGUUCACUUGACCACUGACAUACAAGCCAUCCACAUUCUUGCUUUCCUCUGAGAUACAUACGGCCGGCCCUUCGGGCAUCCUGGCGAUACAAAUACUGUUUCAGAGUUUUCUCAAAUAUUGACAGAUGAUUAAAUGUUUCAUCAAACCAUAUUGUUGCCCUUACAAAUAGGCACGUCCCUUUUAAUUUAACACAAAGAUUAUCCAAACCAAGAUUUUUCUUGUGAAAUUUACUGCCUUCUUCUCUUUUUCUCCUCACCCAUAACUACUAAUAUUAAGAUUAGCAUUCCUAAUCAAAAGGAUGUUUCUAAUCUCCAAAGACAUUACAAAUUCUUUUGACAAAUUCUCAACAAAUUGAUAGGAUUCCCAUGAAAAACAUACAAAUAGAAAAACCAGGCCACAGUACGAUCAAUCUUUCAUAUGCCAUGACUAAAAUGCACAGCUGAUAACCAAAACAUUAGAAUUAGAAGAUAAUAUAUGAGAGGAAAAGUAAUUACCUGAUAAUGGAGAAUCACCACCCAUGAUCAAGAUUCAAACCCAAAAGGAGUUUUCUUGAUGUUGUUUGGUUUUAGCUUCGAUGGAAACAAUGGAAAUUUUCUUGGGAAAAGUUUUACUUUUACUUUUAUAUUCCUGGGAAACUUGUCCAGGGGAAGACAAUUACCCGAGAUAACAUAAAAGUAUAAAUUCCAGAUGUUGGAGUGUGGUGAGAGAGGGAACAGGUACUAUCCGGAUUUUGAAGAUCAAUCAAUCAGGUUCAUCAUAUAUUGUACAGUCAUUUUUUAAAUUUUUAUUUAAAAAUAAACACAAACAGUAACUAACGAAAACCAUUAAUAUUUUCUCGGAAAAAGUUUUACUUUCCUGAGAAACUUAUGCGGGGGAAGAAUAUUACCCGAGAGAACAGAGUAAUGUUAUAUAGACGCACAAAAAUAACACACUCAAAUUAGAGAUCGUUUCAAUUAGAGUAGGCUUCCUGUCCAAAUCCCAAAUGGGGGGUAGGUGAAUCGUCAUCCUUUGCCCUCCAUUUGCCUUGUUCCAAGCACACCAUUUCUCUGUACUGAGUUCGUAAGCACUUGGACGUGUGUUUAAAUUCUGUAAUACGAGAUUAGUGACUAAUCAUUUCCUUCAUUAUCUAAACCACUAUCACAAACAUUCGUACCUUCAAAUGUGAUCCUGCUGGUGUUUCCUCUUCUUCAAGAUUGUACUCGACGCACCACAUGUGCCGACGUGACCCAAAAUCUCAAUUCAAUUCGAAAUGGAUAACCUAAACACACAAAUUUCAAUUCAAUUCGAAAUUUCAAACUUCAUUACAUAAUAAUUGAAACCAACAUGACCCAAAAUCUCAAAUUCCAUCCAGUUAAAUUUGAAUUGAGCUAAAUUUUACUACUAAAUCGAAAGAAUCAGUAAAAAACUCACAAGGUGAGAGUAAAAUGCAUGAAAGUAAUUCGGGGGAGUAGCAUGGUGACGACGCCGCGUUUGGGUUUGGAGCCACGAGACGACGCCGGAUUGAGGGAGGGAGGAAGGGCGGAGCUUGUGGCCGGAGAAGUCGGAGGAGAGGCUGUUGCCGGCGAAGGGAGAGAGGAAGCUGGUGGAAAGGGAGGCUCUGGGAGGGGAAUGAGACGACAUCAGAUUGGGCGGGUAGUGUUCAGGGCUCGGGGAGUGGUGGCCGUUGCUAACAUGUGUGGAGCGCGAAGCUGGAAGCUGUGGUUGGCACCUCCAUUGAUGAGUUUCGAACGGUGGUUAACUGGAGAACGCAGUAUCCAAAUGGAAGGAGAUAUCGAAACCAAAUAAAGUGGGCUCUUUUGGUUUUUGGGCUACAAAAUAUUUAGCCCAUAACAUGGGACAUUCCAGCCCAGUAUGUCCUUUCGUUCAAACUUUUUUUUUUUUUUUUUUUUUGUAAAACUAUAUAUAUUUACAUUGAAGGGUGGAAUAAUUGAAUGCAUCGAUGUCUAAACUUAAAACUUCUCAAUUACAUAAAACUUUUUACUUACACAUGAAAAAAAAAUGUUCAAGGGAAAAAACAUGAACAAGAAAUGGUAAAUGUCCAAUCGUUUGGCUAUAAUCAUCAUGAAGAUGUCAAUGACUGGAGUUACCUAAAACUAUAAUUAAUAUUAGGCAAAGAGAUUCUAUACGUGACGGUGUAACAUUGUUCCACAAAAUAUUUUCAAAUAUCCUGUUCUCUCACAAAGUAAUGAGUUAUGGGAAAAAUUGUGCAUGGAUCAUGUGAAACUCACACACACUUAAAUUUAGUAGUGGGCAUAAACUAACUGAACCGUCCAAACUAGCCAAUCUGAACCGUUUUGGUCGGUUUAGUUUCAUUUUGACGAGAAACAAGUUACACAAUUUAAAAACUGAACCGAUUUUAUGUUGGUUUGUUUUGUUUCACUUUUGAAAUUGACCAAAACUAAACUGAAUCGAUUGUAUAUCUUUUAAUUAUAAUUUUUACUUAUUUUACACAUAUAAUGGGUUAUUUAGAUGUCUAAGCGUACAUAUAUUAUGUUGUAAAUAUGGAUGUCCAUUGUUUGUUAGGGUGGAAGGCACCAAAGCAUGAGUAUGGAAGACACCAAAGCAUUAAUGGGUGUAGUAGGUAAAGGAUUUUGUCUAUAAAAUGAAUGAGAGGGGAAGGAGGAGAAUUCAUCAACAAGAGAGGAAAUUAUGGAAGAAGAGAGGAGAGAAUAGAGAGAGUUAUCUUUGUACUCCUAUUAUUCCAGAUAAUGAAUGAAAGCACCAUUGCUGCCCUGAUGACGUACUCCAGUCACACUGAUUGUAGAGGAACCUCGUAAAUAUUGUGUCUUGUUUCAUUUAUUCCACUACACAUAUACCGUUAAUUUUACAACAUGUUAUCAACACGAGAAGCUCUCGUGUCAGUGGAAAACACAACGCCACAAAUCCAGUGAAGCACUACCUACCUCUCACCUAUGUCAACUGGAAUCUCACAGAUAAAAAAAUCUUUCAUUUCAUCUUCAAAUCUUUGUACUAUUGAUUUUCUUGAAGCAACUAUAUAUCUUGUUGUAUGAUUGUAUAUCAUCCUUUGUAGAAGCAAAAGAGUACAAACUCAAAAUUCGUAGAAAAUCUGACAGCCAUGUAAACAGCCUUUAAACUCCAACUUGCUGACCUCAGAUUGAAAUACUUUCUUCUUGAAAGUUGUUCGUCCACCCAGUAUCUAUAACAUAUCAAAUUUUCAGAAAAUUCCAAUGGUGCAAUCAUCACAAAUGUUUGAAGCACCAACCUAGUUUCCAAUCCUGCAGAAAACUGAACAGCCAUCUUAUGAGUACCAAAACUCUGUUUUUAGUAGCUCAGUCAAAACUAUUUCUUCACGAAAGUUGUUCGGUAUCCUCUUAUCCAUAUCGUACUAAAAUUUGAGUUAAAUCUAAUAGUUUGAUCUUCUCAUAAGUUGCAGGCACUCCUCUUGACUCCAAAACUUAUGGGAACCGUUUCGACUCUUUCGAAACUUACCGGAGUAGGAACACAAAUUGAGACUUAUUGCUAUCAUUACUCCUUGAGUAACUAAAAGGACUUAGAGUUGUGAAAAUAAAAAAAAUAAAAAAAAAAUAAAAGGGAUGAAACAAAAGGAAGUGGCAUACAAAGAAAAAGAAAAGAAAAAAAAAUGAUGGAAACUUAAUCAUCACCCUUUUCUAUUAUUGCUUUAUUUAUGUGAAUGUUGAUAGUUUAAAGCCCUUUCACAAGUUCCAUUUACUUAAAAGCAAUUAAUUUACGGUGGGUGUAAUUAUUGCCCUUUACUUUAAGCUUUGAUGUAUGUGAAUAGUAUUGAAUUAAAGUCCUUGUCAUAAGCUUUAUUUACUUAAAAGCAAUUUAUUUAUUAUGGCUGGAAUUACCGCAUAUUGCUUUAAUUUAUUUAUUGUACUUCUUUUGUUAUGAUGAGUAUAUACAGGACUCGAAGUUCCUUGUCAGAUCAGAACCUACAAUUUCUUGAUCCUUAUCAUAUAAAAUGAUUGGACCAAAAGUUCCAUCAUGUAAAAAGAUCAGACAUGAAUUUCCUUGAUCAUCAUUAGGCCUGACAAUUCCUGCCACGACCCGAUAACCCGACACGACACGACACAAAAUUAACAAGUGUUUGGGUCGACACGAUAACGAAUCGGGUUGUUAUCGGGUAACCCGAUAAGCACCUCUUAAGAUAACGGGUUGGUUCGAAUAUACACGUGGAUAUCACGAUACACGAUAAGCAAAAUAUUAGUUUUAUAAUUUUAUAUAACCCUAAAAAUAUGCUAUAAUAAUUAUAUACAUUAAUUUAACAAUUUUAUGCCCCUAAAAACUAUAAUAAUUAUAUAUAUAUAUUAAAUUAAAUAUUAAAAAUUGGCGACCAUUGGAUCUGCUUAAAUAUACAUACCAUUCAAUUUCUUAAGUAUUAUACGUACAAAAUAAAUAAAUUUAAAUCUACUUAAUAAAUAUAUAUACACACCAUUGAACUUGAUGGUAUAUGAAUUCUACGAAACUAAUUUCAACGAUCCAACCGCCAAACUUGUUUGUAUAUGCUUCGAGAUCGCAUUAGCAAAAAAUUGCAAAAAACAAACAUUUAGAGAUCAAGUAACGGGACAAAACUUUUCGACGGUUAUCAACGAAAAAUCACGAUUUAACGGUUAUUUUAACUCCGAUUUUGAUGAUUUUUUACAGCUACACUCCUUGACCCUAUAUGAAUACAAUGAAUGAAUUCGAUCUUCAAUUUAAAAUAUUUACACUAGUGGAUAUCACAAAAUCUUAUGUUAUACUUAAUGAAAGUAUGAAUUAACUCUUAAGUGUUAGUGAAUCUAUUGUUUUGAUGGGAUACGCAUUCUACGAAACUAAUUUCAACGAUCCAACCGUCAAACAUGUUUGCAUAUACUUUGAGAUCACAUAUGCCAAAAAUUGGAAAAAACAAACAUUUAAAGAUUAAGUAACAGGACAAAGCUUUUCGACGGUUACAAAUGAAAAAUUACGUUUUAACGGUUAUUUUAACUUUGAUUUUGAUGAUUUUUUACAGCUACACUCUUUGACCCUAUAUGAAUACAAUGAAUGAAUUCGAUCUUCAAUUUAAAAAAUUUACACUAGUGGAUACCACAAAAUCUUAUGUUAUACUUAAUGAAAGUAUAAAUAAACUCUAGUGUUAGUGAAUCUAUCGUUUUGAUGAGAUACGCAUUCUACGAAACUAAUUUCAACGAUCCAACCGUCAAACUUGUUUGUAUGUGCUUCAAGAUCUCAUAUGCCAAAAAUCACAAAAAACAAACAUUUAGAGAUGAAGUAACGAGAUAAAACUUUUCGACAGUUAUCAACGAUAAAUCACAAUUUAAUGGUUAUUUUAACUCCGAUUUUGAUGAUUUUUUACAGCUAUACUCCUUGACCCUAAAUGAAUACAAUGAAUGAAUCUUCAAUUUAAAAUAUUUACACUAGUGGAUACCACAAAAUCUUAUGUUAUACUUAAUGAAAGUAUGAAUAAACUCUUAAGUGUUAGUGAAUUUAUUGUUUUGAUGGGAUACGCAUUCUACGAAACUAAUUUUAACGAUCCAACCUUCAAAUAUGUUUAGAUAUACUUUAAGAUCGCAUAUGCCAAAAAUUGCAAAAAACAAACAUUCAGAGAUCAAGUAAUGGGACAAAACUUUUCGACAGCUAUAAACGAAAAAUCACGAUUUAAUGGUUAUUUUAACUCUGAUUUUGAUGAUUUUUUACAACUACACUUCUUGACUCUAUAUGAAUACAAUGAGUGAACUCGAUCUUCAAUUUAAAAUAUUUACAAUAGUGGAUACCACAAAAUCUUAUGUUAUACUUAAUGAUAGUAUGAAUAAACUCUUAAGUAUUAGUGAAUCUAUUAUUUUGAUGGGAUACGCAUUCUACGAAACUAAUUUCAACGAUCCAACCUUCAAAUAUGUUUAUAUAUACUUUAAGAUCGCAUAUGCCAAAAAUUGCAAAAAACAAACAUUUAGAGAUCAAGUAACGGACAAAAUUUUUCGACGGUUAUAAACGAAAAAUCACGAUUUAACGGUUAUUUUAACUCCGAUUUUGAUGAUUUUUUACAGCUACAUUCCUUGACCCUAUAUGAAUACAAUGAAUGAAUUCGAUUUUCAAUUUAAAAAAUUUACAAUAGUGGAUACCGCAAAAUCUUAUGUUAUACUUGAUGAAAGUGUAAAUAAACUCUAAGUGUUAGUGAAUCUAUUGUUUGGAUGGGAUACACAUUCUACGAAACUAGUUUCAACGAUCCAACCGUCAAACUUGUUUGUAUAUGCUUCAAGAUCGCAUAUGCCAAAAAUCGAAAAAAACAAACAUUCAAAGAUCAAGUAAUGGGACAAAACUUUUCGACAGUUAUCUACGAAAAAACACGAUUUAAUGGUUAUUUUAACUCCGAUUUUGAUGAUUUUUUACAGCUACACUCCUUGACCCUAUAUGAAUACAAUGAAUGAAUUCGAUCUUCAAUUUAAAAUAUAUCUCAUCGAAGCUCAAUAGCUCAAACAAUCAUAUCAUAAAUCCAUAUUCAUAGAUAUCUUAGUAAACAUAAAUUCGAUAAAGCAUACAUCCGAUUUACUCAUAAACGUUUCAUAAAAUGUAGUCAUAAAAUCAUGCUUUUCAUGUAUGCAUUUCUAAUAGUAAAAACAUGCAUUUUGGAAUGGGUCCACUCACAGAUACUCUGUCGUCAAGGAGCCGUGCAAUUAGCGAGGACGGAAACACCACAAACAAAUGCACAUAAGCACAUAAAGGGACCAAUUAAUAAAACUAUACUAAGAUGAUUGAAUUUGGGAAAACGACGUCAUAAAUGGAUUCAGGACGUCAAAAAACCUAAAGAGGGACCUUAGGUACUCCCACACAUGGCGGCAACCCGAAAGGCCACUCACCAAAGCACGCGCCAAGUUGAGUCGCCUGAAAGUUGGUCGUAAAAGUUGCUGAUGCUGUCGUGAAAGACAGUGGAACACAAUAUCUUUGGUGAAUACGCUUGUGCUCUAUGUGUCGGCCAAGACAGGCACCCCCUACGCGUGAACCCACGCGCUGACCUGGAACUUAGGAACUGGUCGGGUUGGGUGGAAUUUGGGUUUCGGGUCUAGGCUUGGUUUAGUGGGCUGAAGGUUUGGGUUGGGUCGGGUAGCAUAGCCCAAGGUUUGGGCCAAUUUGGAUAGUCGAGUCGGGUAGCAACUUGUUGUUUGGAUCUAAGUUUAAGGGUAAUGGGUUGGGUAGACCAGGUUCAGGCCAUGGGUUUGGUUUGAAAUUGGGCAACAUUUUUUUAGCUUCGUUCGAGCUCAUUUCUACAUCAUUUGCAAUUAAUCAAAAGCCAAAAUGAAGCUUAGGAUGACAAGAAGAGAUUCGUACCAUUUUGGAGCCGUGUGGUGGCCAGAGUUAGCCGAAAAAUGGCCUGGAAGGCAUGGGUUCUUGCCGAAAACUACGAAAGUGUCCCCGAGUAGUUUCUUCGUAGUUUCGACAUCCAAAAAAUGUACAAGGGAGUUAGUCUUCAACCCAAGACGAGAUAGGGACGAUAAAAAUGGGUUUAGGACCUUACCCUUCGUCAUGACUCGACGGGGAAGACGGUGAACAGUGCCUUGGUCAUUGUUGGGCUACACAGCUUCUAGCUUGUGGUUUCGAGGUCAUAAUUCAGAUGGUGGUGGUGGUCAGGUGGGGAGUUUCAUCACUGUGGUAGUGUGUGUAUGAGUCAAGCUCGGAGAAAUAUAAAGGUUACAAAGAGGGAGAAAGAGAGAAAAAGAGGUCCGAGAGUUGUAUGGUUUUCAGAGAGAGACACAUGGAGAAUGAGAUGAGAAUAGAGAGUGGUCGGGGGACCAAAAAGGAAGUGGGCCCCACAUGGCACACCAAACAAGAUCCAAAAAUCAACCAUUUCAAAAUAUCUCCCAACCAAAGUAAAAUUACAAAAUUACCUUUCUGAUUCGUAAAAUCCAGGAUGGGUCGUUACAAGAGUGUUGUAAAUAUGGAUGUCCAUUGUUUGUUAGUGUGGAAGACACCAAAGCAUGAGUUUUGGGUCAAAGAGCCUAGGCUUGAAAGCCCAGCCUAAAGCAAAAGGGUUUUGGGAUUUUAAUAAAUAAAAAGGGUUAUAAGGUUAACGGGCCGAAGGCCUGAGUUCUAAAUGGCCCAGAUGCCUUAGUGACAUAGGGGUUGGGUUUGGGUUUCCAAAGAAUUGGGCUUUUGUUUAGGCCCAAAGGCCUUAGUUAUAUGGUUUUGGGCUUGAAGGCCUUUUCCUCGCCGAGGAAGAAGGUCGUACUCUUCCGAGCUCCGGUCGUUGCCAACACUUACCCCUAGGCCACGAUCUAUGCACCAAAAUGAAGCUAGAGACAAUAUGGAGAUAUUUUGUACCUUCGAUUAGUUGUUGGGUGGACGGAAGGGGCUGGAAAACGCCUUGAAUGCCACGAGGUUCGCCGGGAAAACUCGCGAGGUUUCUGGGCUUCGCCGUGCUUCAUAGAGACGAGGGAGAGAGGGGGGUGAUCCUCUUAAGUUGGUAGUGGUGUCAUGAAGUUUUGGGUGUGAGGAUGAAUGUGUGUGUGGGUAGAUCGGGAAGGGAGAGUGGCCACGAUCUACCCACCAAAAUGAAGCUAGAGACGAUAGGGAGAUAUUUGGUACCUUCAAUUAGUCGUGGGGUGGACAGAAGGGGCUGGAAAACGCCUUGAAUGCCACAAGGUUUGCCGGGAAAACUCGCGAGGUUUCUGGGCUUCGUCGUGCUUCAUAGAGACGAGGGAGAGAGAUGGGUGGUCCUCUUAAGUUGGUAGUGGUGUCGUGAAGUUUUGUGUGUGGGGAUGGGUGUGUGUGUGGGUAGAUCGGGAAGGGAAAGUGCGAGAGAGUGUGAGAGUUGACUCGGGGGGGGGGGGAAGGAGAGAGAGAGAUAUGGCGAGUUAAUGGGCUGCCACGUGGCAAGUAAAAAAAGGGAGAGAAUCUAGAAAUAGGAUUUUGAUUGGGUAGAUGAUAGGGGACCAAUUUGUAACUUCAAUAAAUCUUUAGGGGAAAAUGUGAAAUUACAAUAAUCUUAGGGGUGGGGUAUAAUAGUAACCGUUGGCUCAUGGUUGUAGAUAGAAUGGUUCACCUCAUGCAGUUCCAAUCGUCAAGUGGCACACGUGUCACACGAUCAUGCUUCAUCAGUGUGUAGCUAAACAUUUGAUAACGCAUCACCUUAGAAUUUGAAAUUGAUCAAUGUCAUCGAAAAGUACAAGAACAAUGAUCAAGUGAGACAAUACUUCAGUUGUUAGAAACUUCAUUCACCUUCAACAUCUCCAACAAGAUUGACUUGCUACCUAGCCAAAAGGAAUAAGGCUAAGCACAAAGAAUUGUUAAGAACUGCCGAUAAAAAUUGACAAGACCAAAGAUAUUUUGUAUUUCACAACACCUUGUACGAAUUUUCAAUUUCUACGAUCGCAACCCUUUUGGAAAUUGAUGAGAAUAACUUCUGCUAUAAAAAAGUCUUCCAAGAAAAGUAUUUAAUCUAAACAAAGUCAAAGUUUGAAGAAUUUGGUGUACAACUGACUGUCGAUGCUUAUUGAUCUUUACCUUGUUGUUGGAGUAAGCAAGAAGGUCAACGAUACGAAGAUCACCAAGAAAUCUUCUGAGGGUUCACAUUAAUUUCCCUCAGUGGCAACAACAAGUUCGAGAACAAUGAUUCGGUCCAACCAAACUAACACUUGCUAAACUUCGCAAACAACUAGCGCUUAUUCGCUUUCUUCAACACGAACUUCAGGUGUUUCGAGCAAUUUCCCCAUAGAUAUGACUCUGCCCACCAUUCCUAAAGAACGCAUGUCACAAAGUAACAUCACCGUAUUAGAUCUCUAACUGGUCUUGAUCAAACCUCAUACCACUAAAAUUUUUCAUUUCCCAACACAUUUAUGUAGAUCCGACUCUGCCUACCAUUCUUAAGGAACGCAUGUCGUAGAGUAUUAGUCCACUGAUGAAAGUCAUCCAUCAAUCCAUUUCGUCACUGGUAAGGCACAAUCCCGACAUAAAUUCUUGUACUUCGAACAUAAAGUGACAUUUCAGACAGAAAAUGUUUGCACAACUGUGCCAAAACGCACCAAAAUCAGGAAACCAUGACAUCCAAAUGAUGUCAAGGCCGACACAUUACUACAUUAACAGAAGAUCCUAAGUAUGCUCUGAACAAACCAUGCUCUGAUACCAAAUUGACACGCUCGACCCUGAUAUCCUCCAAACACCAGGGUAGGCACGUGCUGGCCGACACCCGAAAGUGAUAAAGCCAUACUAACAUGCAUGAGAACUAUGAAGAAAGAAUGAACAUAAAUAAAACUCAAAAAUUUAACUGUAAUGAAUAUGCAAUUGUGGAACGUGUUCGGAGCAUACAACUAAACCAGAAUAUUGAAGAAGGAAUAAUAUAAGGAAUGGGUCAUACACCGAGAGAACUCGAAGCUACUGAUGCAGGAAUGCCUUGACGCCGAGAUUGUACGCCUCGAUUCAAAGUCCUGAGGGGGUGCAAAACAAAAUAUGAAUGGACCAAGUUUAUAAAUAAGUAAUACUAAAACAAUUAUUGAUCAACGUACAAACCCCCAUUUUAGAAAACUCAUAUAUCAUAAUAAGUAAUAGGUUUUCCGAAAACCCUGGCAUGCGAUAAAACCUUCGUAAAACAUAUAUCAUAUAGUGUGCUUAGUAGUGGUAUCACAAUCGUCCGUAGGCACUACAUCUCCCUACCGAAGCCAUAUAUAAAUAUCUUCCGGCUGUAGGCACUACAUCUCCCCGCCAAUGCCAUAUAUAAAGAUCUUCCGCCCGUAGGCACUACAUCUCCCGGCCGAAGCUAUAAAUAAAUAUCUCACCCGUAGGCACUACAUCUCCCUGCCGAAGGCAUAUAUAAAAAUCUUUCGCCCGUAGGCACUACAUCUCUCGGCUGAAGCCAUAUAUAAAUAUCUUCAGCUCGUAGACACUACAUCUCCCAACUGAAGCCAUAUAUAAGUAUCAUUCGCCCGUAGGCACAUCGUAUGAAUAACUACUAAGUACAGAAAAUCAUGAACAUAAUAUUUCCAAAAUAUAUCUCAUCAGAGCUUAAUAGCUCAAGCAAUCAUAUCAUAAAUCCAUAUUCAUAGAUAUCUCAGUAAACAUAAAUUCGAUAAAGCAUAUAUCUGAUUUACUCAUAAACAUUUCAUAAAACAUAGUCAUAAAAUCAUGCUUUUCAUGUAUGCAUUUCUAAUAGUAAAAACAUGCAUUUUGGAAAGGGUCCACCCACAGAUACUCUGUCAUCGAGGAGCUGUGCAAGGACGGAAACACCACAAACAAAUGCACCUAAGCACAUAAAGGGACCAAUUAAUAAAACUAUACUAAAACGAUUUAAUUUGGGAAAACGGACAUCCUAUACGAAUUCAGGACGUCGAAAAACCUAAGAAGAGACCUUGGGAACUCCCACGCGCUGAGUUAAGUCACAGGAAAACUGGUUGAAAAAGUCGCCGGCGCCGUCGUUGACGGCGGUGGAACACAAUACCUCAUGCGAAGGCACGUAUGCUCUACGCGUCGGCCAAGACAGGGCCCACGCGCUGAUAUGGAACUUGGGAACCGGUCGGGUCAUGUCGAAUCUAGGUUUUGGGUCUGGGCUUAGUGUCUAGGUUGGGCCAAAGGUUCUGGGUUUGGGUCUGGGCUUGGUUUAGUGGGCCGAAGGCCUGGGUUGGGCCGGGUAACAUGGUCCGGUUUGGAUAGUUGAGCCUAGUAACAACUUGGGUUUUGGAUCCUGGUUUAAAGGUAACUGGUCGUGUCGACCCUGUUUCAGGUCGUGGGUUUGGCCGGAAACUGGGCAACACCCGAGCUCCAUUUGAGCUCAUUUCUACAUUUGCAAUUAUUCAAAAGCCAAAAUGAAGCUUAGGAUGAGAAGAAGAGAUUCGUACCAUUUUGGAGCCGUGCAAUGGCAUAAGUUGGCCGAAAAAUGGACUGGAAGGCACAGGUUGCCGAAAAACUGGGAAAGUGUCCUCGAGUAGUUUCUUCAUAGUUUCGAUGUCCAAAACAUGUACAAGGGAGUUAGUCUUCAACCUAAGAUGAGGGAAGGAUGAUGAAAAAGGGUUUAGGACCUUACCAUCUGUCGUAACUCGUCAAGGGAGACUGUGAACAGUGCCUCGAUCAUUGUUAGGGUACACUGCUUCUAGCCUGCAGUUUUGAGGUCACAAUGUUCAGAUGGUGGUGGUGGUUAGGUGGGAAGUUUCGUCAAUGUGGUUGUGUGUGUGCGAGUCAAGCUCGAAGGGAGAUAGAGGUUGCAGCGAGGGAGAGAGAGAGAGAGAGAAAAAAGGGAACUUUAACGAAAAGCACCAGGUACUGUUCACUUUAACGAAAACCACAUUUUUACACUAAAAAGUCAAUCCUGGUACUAUUCACUUUACCCUUUAUUUUGUCCUUAUCAUUAAAACUCAAAGUUUUCAAGCCCUUUUCAUUAGUUUUCCUAAAAAAAAAAAGGGUUUGAGAGUUGUAUGGUUUUCAGAGAGAGACACGGGGAGGAGGAGAGGAGAAGAAAGAGUGGGCUGGGGGACCAAAAAGGAAAGUGGGCCCCACAUGGCACACCAAACAAGAUCCAAAAAGCAACCAUUCCAAACUAUCUCCCAACCAAAGUGAAAUUACAAAAUUGCCCUUCUGAUUCGUAAAAUCCGGGACAGGUCAUUACAAGAGUGUUGUAAAUAUGGAUGUCCAUUGUUUGUUAGUGUGGAAGACACCAAAGCAUUAGUGGGUGUAGUAGGUAAAUGAUUUUGCCUAUAAAAUAUAAUUAAGAGGGGAAGGAGGAGAAUACAUCAACAAGAGAGGAAAUUAUGGAAGAAUUGAGGAGAGAAUAGAGAGUUAUAUUUGUACUCCUAUUAUUCCAAAUAAUGAAUGAAAGCACCACUGCUGCCCCGAGGACGUACUCCAGUCACACUGACUAUAGAGGAACCUCGUAAAUAUUGUGUCUUGUUUCAUUAAUUUCACUGCACACAUACCCUCAAUUUUACAAUAUAUUAAAAGUUGUAGAGACUAUUAACAAUUUGGAGAUUUAAGCUUAUGUGUACUUUAGGCUUAUAGGCGAAAGGUUAUUUGUGCUUAAAGGCUUAUGUCUGAUUGUAACUAAUAAAUGGAUUGCUAAUACAAGACUUUAUUUAAUUGAACUUAGUUCUAGUUCACUUGAUGAAAAUUUAUGUUCCAAAAAAAUUAAACCUUUUGAUCGAAUUGGAAUUUGUGAGGUGUAAAGUUAUUUAGAAAAUUAAAACUGUUGAAAUGUUAGACAUUUUUUUAUUGAUGUAUGGAGAAUAGGCUUGAACCAACCAAAUCAAACCGAUUAACAAUGAUUUGGUUUGUUUUGGUUUCAAUUGCGGUGUUGGACAACUAAACUGAACUAUUAAAUGCUAGUUGGUUUGGUAAUAUAUUUGGUGUCAAACUGAAUCUAGCCCAUCCCUACUUUAAUUAUUGUUGUCAGAAGUAGUAGUGUUAAUAAUGUUUAAGAAGGUGCCACGUUUUCGUUUUCAUUUCGAAGAACUUGUUAUAUUUUUUUACAACGAUAAGAUAAUUUACACGAAAUUCAUGCGGGAGGAGAAAAUAAACCCAGAACACAUUAAGUUUGAGAGGAAAGCCCCGUAACCACCAGGGGCAAUCCAUUCGAAGAACUUGGUUGAGAUCGCAAAAAAAUUUCAACAUUACAACGGGGUCAAUCAAAAUUUAGGGCUAUUUGAAAGAGAGAUCAAUGAAACCCUUUAAAAUCGAACAACAUAUCCAAACAAUACUUGACUACACAUCGAAAAGGGAAGUCAUAUCCGCACACCCACUUCCCCUCUCUGCACACCCUUACUUAUUUCCAUUCAGAAACGCUUACAAAGUUGCGUGCACGAAUCAUUUCCCUUCGAAAAUGAUUGCCGGGUUUACGAAAGGUAUUUCUUCUUUUACCAAACUUAUGAUUACAUUUGCUGGAAGUUUUUCAUCAAGUAAAAAGGAAUAUGUACAAAUUUUCAGAUGGCCAGAGGCAAAAGUUAACUACACAUCCAAAUCCAACGCAGAAGGGCUAGAAAUACCCUCUGUAUAAUAUUAUCCAAUGUUGGUCCUCCUAUAGUCUCAAUACAAGCUAACAACCCUUCAAGUCCCUCCAUCUUAGGUACAGUAGACCGGCACGGUAGUGUGUGUAAGCUGCUGCCACAACCAAGAUAUGGAAAAGUUGGUGACUGUUCCCAGCAAUAUCAAACUUCCCUGGUCUCCACCGCUCGGGUAUCCUUGUAGCAUAAAUCAAUGCCCCUAGUCC